RNAcentral lists this transfer RNA (71 nucleotides) under Acinetobacter phage vB_AbaM_Acibel004. It matches the Rfam family "tRNA". From Rfam's summary of the family: Transfer RNA (tRNA) molecules are approximately 80 nucleotides in length. Their secondary structure includes four short double-helical elements and three loops (D, anti-codon, and T loops). Lineage: Duplodnaviria; Heunggongvirae; Uroviricota; Caudoviricetes; Luriaviridae. The record is from Rfam by way of RNAcentral.
AGGUCGUUAGUGUAAAGGUUGCACAGUGGAUUCCAAAUCCUCUUGAAUGGGUUCGAUUCCUAUACGAUUCU